RNAcentral lists this ribosomal RNA (253 nucleotides) under uncultured bacterium. Its description in RNAcentral is "partial 16S ribosomal RNA". It matches the Rfam family "Bacterial small subunit ribosomal RNA", at positions 524 to 776 of the family's 1533-position model. The record is from RNAcentral.
UACGUAGGUGGCAAGCGUUGUCCGGAUUUAUUGGGUUUAAAGGGUGCGUAGGCGGCUUUGUAAGUCAGUGGUGAAAUACGGUAGCUCAACUAUCGAGGUGCCAUUGAUACUGCGGAGCUUGAGUACAGAUGAGGUAGGCGGAAUUGACGGUGUAGCGGUGAAAUGCUUAGAUAUCGUCAAGAACACCUAUAGCGAAGGCAGCUUACUAGGCUGUAACUGACGCUGAGGAGCGAAAGCCAGGGGAGCAAACGGG